RNAcentral lists this ribosomal RNA (898 nucleotides) under uncultured bacterium. Its description in RNAcentral is "bacterial SSU rRNA". It matches the Rfam family "Bacterial small subunit ribosomal RNA", at positions 9 to 915 of the family's 1533-position model. The record is from RNAcentral.
GAGUUUGAUCCUGGCUCAGGAUGAACGCUAGCGGCAGGCCUAACACAUGCAAGUCGAGGGGUAUAAGGAGCUUGCUCCUUAGAGACCGGCGCACGGGUGCGUAACGCGUAUGCAAUCUACCUUGUACAAAGGGAUAGCCCAGAGAAAUUUGGAUUAAUACCUUAUAGUAUGUAGAGGUGGCAUCACUUUUAUAUUAAAGAUUUAUCGGUACAAGAUGAGCAUGCGUCCCAUUAGCUAGUUGGUAUGGUAACGGCAUACCAAGGCAACGAUGGGUAGGGGUCCUGAGAGGGAGAUCCCCCACACUGGUACUGAGACACGGACCAGACUCCUACGGGAGGCAGCAGUGAGGAAUAUUGGUCAAUGGGCGCAAGCCUGAACCAGCCAUGCCGCGUGCAGGAUGACGGUCCUAUGGAUUGUAAACUGCUUUUAUACAGGAAGAAACCCUACCACGUGUGGUAGAUUGACGGUACUGUAAGAAUAAGGAUCGGCUAACUCCGUGCCAGCAGCCGCGGUAAUACGGAGGAUCCAAGCGUUAUCCGGAAUCAUUGGGUUUAAAGGGUCCGUAGGCGGUUUUAUAAGUCAGUGGUGAAAUCCGGCAGCUCAACUGUCGAACUGCCAUUGAUACUGUAGAACUUGAAUUAUUAUGAAGUAACUAGAAUAUGUAGUGUAGCGGUGAAAUGCUUAGAGAUUACAUGGAAUACCAAUUGCGAAGGCAGGUUACUAAUAAUACAUUGACGCUGAUGGACGAAAGCGUGGGUAGCGAACAGGAUUAGAUACCCUGGUAGUCCACGCCGUAACGAUGGAUACUAGCUGUUCGGAAGCAAUUCUGAGUGGCUAAGCGAAAGUGAUAGUAUCCCACCUGGGGAGUACGAACGCAGUUGAACUCAAGGAAUUGACG